Molecule: long non-coding RNA, 909 nt
Filed under: Ananas comosus (pineapple)
Lineage: Eukaryota; Viridiplantae; Streptophyta; Magnoliopsida; Poales; Bromeliaceae
Description: long non-coding RNA (ACOM_LNC032467)
Source: RNAcentral
AUAUUUAAUUUUUAAUUUGAAUUUAAAUUAAUAUAUUAUAAAGAUAAUGUUAGUAUAUUAAUUUGAUUACGUUUUUUAUAUCCACCUGAACCAAACACUGAUAAUGGGAAUGAUUUAUUCCGAUUCCUAUUCAGGUGAUGAACCAAACAGAAUUAGGUAAUGAGUCAUUCCGAUUCCGAUUCCAGCUUAUUUUGAUUCCGAUUCCGAUUCCGACUCCGACUUCGAACCAAACACGCCCUCAAAAUAUACAAGUUAUAGUGUGUGUAUAUAUAUAUUGAGAUUAUUAUAUUCUUAUGAAUAUAAAGCCUCUUUGUACUAAUAAAUUUUCAGCAGUUAGAUAAAGGGAUAUCCGGUUAAAAUGAUAGUGAUCCCCUAGGCUUUGUUUCGUUCGGGAUUAAGUAAGAAUUAGUUAUUCCAGAAAUAGAUAUAAGUUCAAGUGUAAAUCUGGAAUAAACUAAUUUUGCGUUUUGAUAAAAAUUAAGCUGUUUUCGGGAAUAAAAAAAAUAGGGUUUGGACAGCUAAAAUGGAAGAAGAAGAAUAGUGGGUAGUUAUAAAUAGAAAAUAAUGAUAUUGCUCCAAUUAUUAUAUUUAAAUUUAAAUUUUUUUAUUUUGUAUUUAAAAAUUUCAAAUUUAAAUAUAUAACUUUAAAAUAGAAAAUUGCAAAAUUUAAAAUCUAAAUUUUUAAAUCACAAAUUUAAAAAUUUAAAGUUAUAAUUUUAAAUUAAAUGUAAACUUACAAAUAUAAAAUAUUAAAUUUAAAUUUUAUAUAACUAAAAAUAACAAUUUUAAAAUUUAAAAUUUAAAUUUUAAAUAUUAAUUUUAAGAUUAUAAAUUAUAAAUUAUUGAAAUUUUAAAUUUAAAUUUUAAAUUUUAAAUUUUAAUUUAAAUAUUAAAUAGGGGUGGUAUUAA